RNAcentral lists this unclassified non-coding RNA (254 nucleotides) under Archaeorhizomycetes sp. RNAcentral describes it as "partial contains 5.8S ribosomal RNA, internal transcribed spacer 2, and large subunit ribosomal RNA". The stretch from base 1 to 69 matches the Rfam family "5.8S ribosomal RNA", at positions 84 to 154 of the family's 154-position model. Lineage: Eukaryota; Fungi; Ascomycota; Archaeorhizomycetes. The record is from RNAcentral.
GUGAGUCAUCGAAUCUUUGAACGCACAUUGCGCCUCCCUUAACCGGGAGGCAUGCCUGUCUGAGCUUCAUUUAAACCAAUCGAUUCUCAUGGAUCGGUGUUGGGCCUCGCCCCCUUGAGCGUCGCCUGAAAGUCAUCUGUCUCACGAGCGGACGAGAUCCUCUGGGACUGACCGUCUGAGACAAUAAGCUUCUGAUUUGAACUCAGAUCAGGUAGGAUUACCGCCUGAACUUAAGCAUAUCAAUAAGCGGAGGA